RNAcentral lists this ribosomal RNA (443 nucleotides) under uncultured bacterium. RNAcentral's name for it is "partial 16S ribosomal RNA". It matches the Rfam family "Bacterial small subunit ribosomal RNA", at positions 338 to 795 of the family's 1533-position model. The record is from RNAcentral.
CCUACGGGAGGCAGCAGUGGGGAAUAUUGGGCAAUGGGCGCAAGCCUGACCCAGCAACGCCGCGUGAAGGAAGAAGGCUCUCGGGUUGGAAACUUCUUUUCUCAGGGACGAAGAAAGUGACGGUACCGGAGGAAUAAGCCACGGCUAACUACGUGCCAGCAGCCGCGGUAAUACGUAGGUGGCAAGCGUUAUCCGGAUUUAUUGGGUGUAAAGGGCGUGUAGGCGGGAGCGCAAGUCAGAUGUGAAAACUCAGGGCUCAACCCUGAGCCUGCAUUUGAAACUGUGUUUCUUGAGUGCUGGAGAGGCAAUCGGAAUUCGGGGUGUAGCGGUGAAAUGCGUAGAUAUACGGAGGAACACCAGUGGCGAAGGCGGAUUGCUGGACAGUAACUGACGCUGAGGCGCGAAAGCGUGGGGAGCAAACAGGAUUAGAUACCCUAGUAGUC